Molecule: ribosomal RNA, 497 nt
Filed under: uncultured bacterium
Lineage: Bacteria
Description: partial 16S ribosomal RNA
Rfam family: Bacterial small subunit ribosomal RNA
Source: RNAcentral
GAUGAACGCUGGCGGCGUGCCUAAUACAUGCAAGUCGAGCGAACAGAUAAGGAUCUUGCUCCUUUGACGUUAGCGGCGGACGGGUGAGUAACACGUGGAUAACCUACCUAUAAUACUGGGAUAACUUCGGGAAACCGGAGCUAAUACCGGAUAACAUAUUGAACCGCAUUGUUCAAUAGUGAAAUGCGGCUUUUCUGUCACUUAUAGAUGGAUCCUCGCCGUAUUAGAUAGUUGGUAAGGUAACGGCUUACCAAGGCAACGAUACGUAGCCGACAUGAGAGGGGGAGCGGCAAAACUGGAACUGAGACACGGUCAAGACUACUACGGGAGGCAGCAGUAGGGAAUAUUACGCAAUGGGCGAAAGCAUGACGGAGAAACGCCGCGUGAGUGAUGAAGGUCUACGGAUCGUAAAACUCUGUUAUAAGGGAAGAAAAAAUGUGUAAGUAAAUGUGCACAGCUUGACGGUACCUGAUAAGAAAGCAACGGCUAACUACGUG